Molecule: ribosomal RNA, 496 nt
Filed under: uncultured bacterium
Lineage: Bacteria
Description: partial 16S ribosomal RNA
Rfam family: Bacterial small subunit ribosomal RNA
Source: RNAcentral
AUGAACGCUGGCGGCGUGCCUAAUACCUGCCAGUCGAGCGAACAGACGAGGAGCUUGCUCCUCUGACGUUAGCGGCGGACGGGUGAGUAACACGUGGAUAACCUACCUAUAAGACUGGGAUAACUUCGGGAAACCGGAGCUAAUACCGGAUAAUAUAUUGAACCGCAUGGUUCAAUAGUGAAAGACGGUUUUGCUGUCACUUAUAGAUGGAUCCGCGCCGCAUUAGCUAGUUGGUAAGGUAACGGCUUACCAAGGCAACGAUGCGUAGCCGACCUGAGAGGGUGAUCGGCCACACUGGAACUGAGACACGGUCCAGACUCCUACGGGAGGCAGCAGUAGGGAAUCUUCCGCAAAGGGCGAAAGCUUGACGGAGCAACGCCGCGUGAGUGAUGAAGGUCUUCGGAUCGUAAAACUCUGUUAUUAGGGAAGAACAAAUGUGUAAGUAACUAUGCACGUCUUGACGGUACCUAACCAGAAAGCCACGGCUAACUACGUG